RNAcentral lists this ribosomal RNA (468 nucleotides) under uncultured bacterium. RNAcentral's name for it is "partial 16S ribosomal RNA". It matches the Rfam family "Bacterial small subunit ribosomal RNA", at positions 28 to 507 of the family's 1533-position model. The record is from RNAcentral.
GACGAACGCUGGCGGCGUGCUUAACACAUGCAAGUCGAACGGAAAGGCCCUGCUUUUGUGGGGUGCUCGAGUGGCGAACGGGUGAGUAACACGUGAGUAACCUGCCCUUGACUUUGGGAUAACUUCAGGAAACUGGGGCUAAUACCGGAUAGGAGCUCCUGCUGCAUGGUGGGGGUUGGAAAGUUUCGGCGGUUGGGGCUGGACUCGCGGCUUCUCCGCUUGUUGGUGGGGUAGUGGCUUACCAAGGCUUUGACGGGUAGCCGGCCUGAGAGGGGGACCGGCCACAUUGGGACUGAGAGACGGCCCAGACUCCUACGGGAGGCAGCAGUCGGGAAUAUGGCGCAAUGGGCGGAAGUCUGAUGCAGCAACGCCGCGUGCGGGAUGACGGCCUUCGGGGUGUAAACCGCUUUCGCCUGUGACGAAGCGUGAGUGACGGUAAUGGGUAAAGAAGCACCGGCUAACUACGUG